RNAcentral lists this ribosomal RNA (2053 nucleotides) under Weissella paramesenteroides. RNAcentral's name for it is "partial 23S ribosomal RNA". It matches the Rfam family "Bacterial large subunit ribosomal RNA", at positions 864 to 2925 of the family's 2925-position model. The record is from RNAcentral. Lineage: Bacteria; Bacillati; Bacillota; Bacilli; Lactobacillales; Lactobacillaceae.
AUAGCUUUAGGGCUAGCCUCGGAAGAUAGCGUGUUGGAGGUAGAGCACUGUUUUGGUGCGGGGCCCAUCUCGGGUUACUAAAUUAAGAUAAACUCCGAAUGCCAAUCACGUAUGUCCGGGAGUCAGACAGUGAGUGAUAAGAUCCAUUGUCGAAAGGGGAACAGCCCAGAUCGUCAGUUAAGGUCCCUAAGUGUGUGUUAAGUGGAAAAGGAUGUGAAGUUGCAUAGACAACUAGGAUGUUGGCUCAGAAGCAGCCACCAUUUAAAGAGUGCGUAAUAGCUCACUAGUCGAGUGAUUCUGCGCCGAAAAUGUACCGGGGCUAAACACACCACCGAAACUACGGGUGCCACAUCAGUGGCGCGAUAGGAGAGCGUUCUAAGGGCAAUGAAGUCAGACCGUGAGGACUGGUGGAGCGCUUAGAAGUGAGAAUGCCGGUAUGAGUAGCGAAAGACAGGUGAGAAUCCUGUCCACCGUAUGACUAAGGUUUCCUGGGGAAGGCUCGUCCUCCCAGGGUUAGUCGGGACCUAAGGCGAGGCCGAAAGGCGUAGUCGAUGGCUAACAGGUUGAGAUUCCUGUACCAGGUGAACAUGUUUGAACGAUGGAGGGACGCAGAAGGCUAACAGAACCCAGCGGCUGGAAAUGCUGGGCCAAGCAACAAGUCUUAGUGUGAGUCAAAUGCUUGCACUUAUACGGACAAGUUGUGAUGGGGACCGAAAUAAAGUAGGGAAGUCUGUGAUGUCACGCUGCCGAGAAAAGCUUCUAGUUAGUGUUUACCUGCCCGUACCGCAAACCGACACAGGUAGUCGAGGAGAGCAUCCUAAGGUGAGCGAGUGAACUCUCGUUAAGGAACUCGGCAAAAUGACCCCGUAACUUCGGGAGAAGGGGUGCUCAGCGCAAGCUGAGCCGCAGUGAAUAGGCCCAGGCGACUGUUUAUCAAAAACACAGGUUUCUGCAAAAUCGUAAGAUGACGUAUAGGGGCUGACGCCUGCCCGGUGCUGGAAGGUUAAAAGGAGUGCUUAGCUUCGGCGAAGGUACGAAUUGAAGCCCCAGUAAACGGCGGCCGUAACUAUAACGGUCCUAAGGUAGCGAAAUUCCUUGUCGGGUAAGUUCCGACCCGCACGAAAGGCGUAACGAUCUGGGCGCUGUCUCAACGAGAGACUCGGUGAAAUUUAAAGACCCGUGAAGAUGCGGGUUACCCGCGACAGGACGGAAAGACCCCAUGGAGCUUUACUGUAGCUUGAUAUUGAGUGUUUGUGCAGCUUGUACAGCAUAGGUAGGAGCCGUAGAAAUCGGGACGCUAGUUUCGAUGGAGGCAAACGUGGGAUACUACCCUCGUUGUAUGAACACUCUAACUCACACCACUCAGCGUGGUGGAAGACAGUGUCUGGCAGGCAGUUUGACUGGGGCGGUCGCCUCCUAAAAGGUAACGGAGGCGCCCAAAGGUUCCCUCAGAAUGGUUGGAAAUCAUUCGCAGAGUGUAAAGGCACAAGGGAGCUUGACUGUGAGACUUACCAGUCGAGCAGGUACGAAAGUAGGGCUUAGUGAUCCGGUGGUUCCGCAUGGAAGGGCCAUCGCUCAACGGACAAAAGCUACCCUGGGGAUAACAGGCUUAUCUCCCCCAAGAGUCCACAUCGACGGGGAGGUUUGGCACCUCGAUGUCGGCUCAUCGCAUCCUGGGGCUGUAGUCGGUCCCAAGGGUUGGGCUGUUCGCCCAUUAAAGCGGUACGCGAGCUGGGUUCAGAACGUCGUGAGACAGUUCGGUCCCUAUCCGUCGCGGGCGUAGGAAAUUUGAGAGGAGCUGCCCUUAGUACGAGAGGACCGGGGUGGACGUACCACUGGUGUAUCAGUUGUUCCGCCAGGAGCAUCGCUGAGUAGCUAUGUACGGAUGAGAUAAACGCUGAAAGCAUCUAAGUGUGAAACUCGCCUCGAGAUGAGAUUUCCCAUUCAGAAAUGAAGUAAGACCCCUCAGAGAUGAUGAGGUAGAUAGGCUAGAAGUGGACGUGCGGUGACGCAUGGAGCGGACUAGUACUAAUGGUUCGAGGACUUAACCAAG